AGCGCAGGCGGACAGGUCAGUUUAAAGUGGAAUCCCAGGGCUCAACCCUGGACGUGCUUUGGAUACUGCCUGUCUUGAGUUCGUGAGAGGAAAGUGGAAUUCAGGGUGUAGCGGUGAAAUGCUUAGAUAUCCUGAGGAACACCAGUGGCGAAAGCGACUUUCUGGCACGAAACUGACGCUGAGGCUCGAAAGCAUGGGUAGCGAACGGGAUUAGAUACCCCGGUAGUCCAUGCCGUAAACGUUGUGUACUAGGUGCAGGAGGUAUCGACCCCUUCUGUGCCGAAGCUAACGCAUUAAGUACACCGCCUGGGGAGUACGCGCGCAAGCGUGAA
This 332-nucleotide ribosomal RNA is filed under the name uncultured Veillonella sp. RNAcentral describes it as "bacterial SSU rRNA". It matches the Rfam family "Bacterial small subunit ribosomal RNA", at positions 568 to 898 of the family's 1533-position model. The record is from RNAcentral. Lineage: Bacteria; Bacillati; Bacillota; Negativicutes; Veillonellales; Veillonellaceae.